GCGGCGGCCGCGCGGCGCGAUGGCGGCGGGGCUGGCGCGGCUUCUGUUGCUCCUCGGGCUCUCGGCCCGCGGGCCCGCGCCGGCAGGUGCAGCGAAGAUGAAGGUGGUGGAGGAGCCCAACUCGUUCGGGUGAGCAGCCUCGCGGGCUGGCGGCUCGGGCGGGGGACGGCUCGGGCCCGUUCCCCGUUGACCUUGCCGCUUCCCGUAGGGUGAACAACCCGUUCUUGCCCCAGGCCAGUCGCCUCCAGGCCAAGAGGGAUCCUUCACCCGUGUCUGGACCCGUGCAUCUCUUCCGACUCUCGGGCAAGUGCUUCAGCCUGGUGGAGUCCACGUGAGUGCAGGGUGGGUGCGAGGGUGGGCUGGGGCGCAGCCUGCGGACCCCCCCCUCAUGCCAUCUGUGUCCCCAGGUACAAGUAUGAGUUCUGCCCGUUCCACAACGUGACCCAGCACGAGCAGACCUUCCGCUGGAACGCCUACAGUGGGAUCCUCGGCAUCUGGCACGAGUGGGAGAUCGCCAACAACACCUUCACGGGCAUGUGGAUGAGGGACGGUGACGCCUGCCGUUCCCGGAGCCGGCAGAGCAAGGUGGGGCCUCAGACGGGAGCCCGGGAAGAGGGGCCCCAGUCUCCCCAACCCACCUACCCACGUUCCCUCCCCAGGUGGAGCUGGCGUGUGGAAAAAGCAACCGGCUGGCCCAUGUGUCCGAGCCGAGGACCUGCGUCUACGCGCUGACGUUCGAGACCCCCCUCGUCUGCCACCCCCACGCCUUGCUAGUGUACCCAACCCUGCCAGAGGCCCUGCAGCGGCAGUGGGACCAGGUAGAGCAGGACCUGGCCGAUGAGCUGAUCACCCCCCAGGUAAGCAUGCGCUCGGGGUGGCCCCUGGCGGGCCUGGCUGGGAGCUGGGUGCUGCCCCUGCAUCCUCCACCUUCAGGGCCAUGAGAAGUUGCUGAGGACACUUUUUGAGGAUGCUGGCUACUUAAAGACCCCAGAAGAAAACGAACCCACCCAGCUGGAGGGAGGUCCUGACAGCUUGGGGUUUGAGACCCUGGAAAACUGCAGGAAGGUACCGUAUUGGGGGGAGGUGGUGGCAUGCAGUAGCCCCCCACCACCUGGGCUUUCCCUUGAACUCUUUUUGUGGUAGGCUCAUAAAGAACUCUCAAAGGAGAUCAAAAGGCUGAAAGGUUUGCUCACCCAGCACGGCAUCCCCUACACGAGGCCCACAG
Molecule: small RNA, 1225 nt
Filed under: Pan troglodytes (chimpanzee)
Lineage: Eukaryota; Metazoa; Chordata; Mammalia; Primates; Hominidae
Description: retained intron
Source: RNAcentral